This 722-nucleotide ribosomal RNA is filed under the name uncultured bacterium. Its description in RNAcentral is "bacterial SSU rRNA". It matches the Rfam family "Bacterial small subunit ribosomal RNA", at positions 13 to 726 of the family's 1533-position model. The record is from RNAcentral.
UUGAUCAUGGCUCAGAUUGAACGCUGGCGGCAGGCCUAACACAUGCAAGUCGAGCGGUAACAGGGGAAGCUUGCUUCUCGCUGACGAGCGGCGGACGGGUGAGUAAUGUAUGGGGAUCUGCCCGAUAGAGGGGGAUAACCACUGGAAACGGUGGCUAAUACCGCAUAAUCUCUUAGGAGCAAAGCAGGGGAACUUCGGUCCUUGCGCUAUCGGAUGAACCCAUAUGGGAUUAGCUAGUAGGUGAGGUAAUGGCUCACCUAGGCGACGAUCCCUAGCUGGUCUGAGAGGAUGAUCAGCCACACUGGGACAGAGACACGGCCCAGACUCCUACGGGAGGCAGCAGUGGGGAAUAUUGCACAAUGGGCGCAAGCCUGAUGCAGCCAUGCCGCGUGUAUGAAGAAGGCCUUAGGGUUGUAAAGUACUUUCAGUCGGGAGGAAGGCGUUGAUGCUAAUAUCAUCAACGAUUGACGUUACCGACAGAAGAAGCACCGGCUAACUCCGUGCCAGCAGCCGCGGUAAUACGGAGGGUGCAAGCGUUAAUCGGAAUUACUGGGCGUAAAGCGCACGCAGGCGGUUGAUUAAGUUAGAUGUGAAAUCCCCGGGCUUAACCUGGGAAUGGCAUCUAAGACUGGUCAGCUAGAGUCUUGUAGAGGGGGGUAGAAUUCCAUGUGUAGCGGUGAAAUGCGUAGAGAUGUGGAGGAGUACCGGUGGCGAAGGCGGCC